GGGUCAGUAGGUUGGUCGUGCCACCGGUACGUACUGGUCUCACUGAUUCCUCCUUCCUGAAGAACCGUAAUGCCGUUAAUUUGGUGUUGCGGGGAAACAGGACUGUUACUUUGAAAAAAUUAGAGUGUUUAAGGCAAGCUAACGCUUGAAUACAUUAGCAUGGAAUAAUGAAAUAGGACGAUCGAUCCUAUUUUGUUGGUUUCUAGGAUUGACGUA
This 216-nucleotide ribosomal RNA is filed under the name Glomeromycotina sp. Its description in RNAcentral is "partial small subunit ribosomal RNA". The stretch from base 40 to 216 matches the Rfam family "Eukaryotic small subunit ribosomal RNA", at positions 686 to 864 of the family's 1831-position model. Lineage: Eukaryota; Fungi; Glomeromycota. The record is from RNAcentral.